Molecule: non-coding RNA, 58 nt
Filed under: uncultured Alloprevotella sp.
Lineage: Bacteria; Pseudomonadati; Bacteroidota; Bacteroidia; Bacteroidales; Prevotellaceae
Description: L13-Bacteroidia ribosomal protein leader
Rfam family: L13-Bacteroidia ribosomal protein leader
Source: RNAcentral
GCCCCUGGAGCGUGUUAAUAGCCGUUAUCUCUUGGCCUGAAACGGUGGUUAGGGAAUC